RNAcentral lists this ribosomal RNA (585 nucleotides) under uncultured beta proteobacterium. RNAcentral's name for it is "bacterial SSU rRNA". It matches the Rfam family "Bacterial small subunit ribosomal RNA", at positions 329 to 915 of the family's 1533-position model. Lineage: Bacteria; Pseudomonadati; Pseudomonadota; Betaproteobacteria. The record is from RNAcentral.
CAGGUCACUCCUACGGGAGGCAGCAGUAAGGAAUAUUGCGCAAUGGGCGACAGCCUGACGCAGCGACGCCGCGUGGGGGAUGAAGGUCUUCGGAUUGUAAACCCCUUUCGGGAGGGAAGAUGGGACGGGCAACCGUUCGGACGGUACCUCCAGAAGCAGCCACGGCUAACUACGUGCCAGCAGCCGCGGUAAUACGUAGGGUGCGAGCGUUAAUCGGAAUUACUGGGCGUAAAGCGUGCGCAGGCGGUUUUGUAAGUCAGAUGUGAAAGCCCCGGGCUCAACCUGGGAACUGCGUUUGAAACUACAAGGCUAGAGUGUAGCAGAGGGGGGUAGAAUUCCACGUGUAGCAGUGAAAUGCGUAGAGAUGUGGAGGAAUACCAAUGGCGAAGGCAGCCCCCUGGGUUAACACUGACGCUCAUGCACGAAAGCGUGGGGAGCAAACAGGAUUAGAUACCCUGGUAGUCCACGCCCUAAACGAUGUCUACUAGUUGUUGGGAGAGUAAAAUCUCUUAGUAACGCAGCUAACGCGUGAAGUAGACCGCCUGGGGAGUACGGUCGCAAGAUUAAAACUUAAAGGAAUUGACG